Molecule: long non-coding RNA, 487 nt
Organism: Nematostella vectensis (starlet sea anemone)
Lineage: Eukaryota; Metazoa; Cnidaria; Anthozoa; Actiniaria; Edwardsiidae
Exons: 2
Source: RefSeq, a predicted model, not a curated record
AUCGUGGCUGCAAAAGAACAAAGUUCUUUAGAUACACUGUCCUGGUGGAUAAAUUCUAAAAUUUGUUUGCAAAAAUAGACAUUUAUGUGACAGGUAUAACUAUGUUUGUAUGUACAACAGUGAACUCCUUCAGGCAUAAAUCAAGGUUAAAAGGCAGGUACCCUUUUUUUUAUUAGGGUGGCAACUGCAGUUUUAAAAGACCAAGUUUUUAUUCAUAUGGCAGCUGAAGCUCACCGAAAUUCAAAGCAAGUUCUUUACCCUGCUUCAAGAUAGUAGUUGUCAUUCUUAUGAAGUCUAGCUCUCUCCUCUUGUUUCCGUUUCUUCCAAAUUUCAAUGUCUUUACCACCCUCGGUGUUGGAGCCAGGAGUAAGGUUUUCUCCAUGAACACUGGAGACGGGUACAGAGAGGUUGUUGGCUGGUGGCUGAUAGCGAAUCAGGUCAAGACACUGCUGUAGAAUCUGUCCCGUGAAGUCACCGGCAGCAUAGC